RNAcentral lists this transfer RNA (62 nucleotides) under Gabronthus thermarum. Its description in RNAcentral is "tRNA-Tyr". Lineage: Eukaryota; Metazoa; Arthropoda; Insecta; Coleoptera; Staphylinidae. The record is from RNAcentral.
GAUAAGAUGGCUGAAAAUAGGCGAUAAACUGUAAAUUUAUUUAUGAAUUAUGUUCUCUUAUC